This 90-nucleotide ribosomal RNA is filed under the name Paratlanticus ussuriensis. RNAcentral's name for it is "partial 26S ribosomal RNA". The record is from RNAcentral. Lineage: Eukaryota; Metazoa; Arthropoda; Insecta; Orthoptera; Tettigoniidae.
CUGAAAUACAAACCAAACACGACCUCAAAGAGGGGAGACUACCCCCUGAAUUAAGCUAUCACACACCCGGAAGAAAAAAUAAUUGUGUUG